ACGUAAAUUGAUUACCAACUAAUUGAAAAUUCCACAAUUUUGAUACUUUUUAAAAUUCUAGCAUUUUAUUACCGCUUUCUUAGUUAUAUAAGAAGAAUGGAAGCUAUUAGGAAUUAGAGUGCAUAUACAUAAUUGCUCCGCUCACUUCCCUUCGAAACAAUCAGUCACAGAGCAGCUUCCGAUCACUUCCCUCUCUCCCUUCGAAACAAUCAGUCAGUGUCUCUCUCUCUCUCUCUCUCUCUCUCUUAGUUUAAUCAAUUCAAUUCCACGAUCUAUAUACUUAUAAAUUCUGAAUUGAUAUUGAUUUAAUAUCAAAUUUGCUUUUCAAAAAACAAUUUCUUCUUUUGUUUGGCGAUGAAUUCUAAUAAAUUUUAUGUAUUUUGGGUAGGUUUGUAAACCCAUUUAGCUCCUUCAUGUCGCUUCCAAAUGAAGAAAAUGAUAUGUCCUCUUCUCCCGAUGCUCAGGUAUUUCCCCUUUUACAUUCAAAGCAACACCCUCUGUUUCUUUUCGCAUUUGGGAUUUGCGGUAUUGGACCCGGAAGAAGUUGAGGGAUUUUGAACUUUUGGUUUGAAUCUAUAUGAAAAAUGGGGAAAUUUUUUGUAGGUUUUGAGUUGUUUGUGUUUAAAUGCAUUGAGAUGAAGAUGUGGGUUAGGCCGGUUGGUUAUGAUAUUGUGUCUCCCCUUUGCAGCCUAGUUCGUAUCAUUGUCCUCGUAAAUUGGAGUGGUUUAGAGUAUUGUCUUGUCAAUAGAAAAAUGAAGAUAAAAAUAAUGCAAUGAGAUGCAUUUUGUCCAUUUGUAGAUGAUUUCACAGUUAUCUGUUCUUGACCUUUUGGAAGAACAAAUUACUAGCUCUAUUGAUUUUAAUGGCUAAGUGGUUAUGUACUAAUAAGUUGUAGAUAUCUUGCUUUGGUUUGAUGAUCACAUCUUUUCGAGAAAGAGAAAAUGCUCGUGAUACAAGGGUUAUCUUCUGCCGUUUACCAAAUUCUUUGUCAAGAUGGAUGAGCAAAUUGAUGGAACAAAAGAUAUGAGUUUGUUGGCGAAUGUUCUAGUGUAUGCAACGUAGAAUAAAGACGAUUAAUGUAACCUCAAAACUUAACAUUUGAACGAUUUCGUGUGUGCAUGUAGAAAUCGGUUGUCAAGAUGGAUGAGAAAAUGCCCAUGAUACAAUGGAUCUUGCAUACUUGCUUAG
Molecule: long non-coding RNA, 1188 nt
Filed under: Malus domestica (apple)
Lineage: Eukaryota; Viridiplantae; Streptophyta; Magnoliopsida; Rosales; Rosaceae
Description: long non-coding RNA (MDOM_LNC002421)
Source: RNAcentral